RNAcentral lists this ribosomal RNA (483 nucleotides) under uncultured bacterium. RNAcentral's name for it is "partial 16S ribosomal RNA". It matches the Rfam family "Bacterial small subunit ribosomal RNA", at positions 28 to 507 of the family's 1533-position model. The record is from RNAcentral.
GACGAACGCUGGCGGCGUGCUUAACACAUGCAAGUCGAACGGAAAGGCCCUGCUUUUGUGGGUUGCUCGAGUGGCGAACGGGUGAGUAACACGUGAGUAACCUGCCCUUGACUUUGGGAUAACUUCAGGAAACUGGGGCUAAUACCGGAUAGGAGCUCCUGCUGCAUGGUGGGGGUUGGAAAGUUUCGGCGGUUGGGGAUGGGCUCGCGGCGUAUCAGCUUGUUGGCGGGGUAGUGGCUUACCAAGGCUUUGACGGGUAGCCGGCCUGAGAGGGUGACCGGCAACGAGGGGAGUGAGACGCGGGCCAAACUCGUACGGGAGGCAGCAGUGAGGAAGAGUGGUCAAUGGGCGGGAGACGGAACCAGCCAAGUAGCGUGCAGGAGGACGGCCUGAUGGGUUGUAAACUGCUGUUAUGCGGGGAUAAAGGGAGGGACGUGUCCUUCAUGGCAGGUACCGCAUGAAUAAGGACCGGCGAGUUCCUUG